RNAcentral lists this ribosomal RNA (627 nucleotides) under uncultured marine bacterium. RNAcentral describes it as "bacterial SSU rRNA". It matches the Rfam family "Bacterial small subunit ribosomal RNA", at positions 8 to 680 of the family's 1533-position model. The record is from RNAcentral.
AGAGUUUGAUCAUGGCUCAGAACGUACGCUGGCGGCACGCCUAACACAUGCAAGUCGAACGAAGUAGCAAUACUUAGUGGCAGACGGGUGAGUAACAUGUAGGUAUCUACCCUUUGGCCUGGAAUAACACGAGGAAACUUGUGCUAAUACCGGAUAAGUCUUUACGGAGAAAGCUUUAUGCACCAUUGGAUGAGCCUGCACUUGAUUAGUUUGUUGGUGGGGUAAUGGCCUACCAAGACUGUGAUCAAUAGCUGAUUUGAGAGGAUGAUCAGCCACAUUGGGACUGAGACACGGCCCAAACUCCUACGGGAGGCAGCAGUGGGGAAUCUUGCACAAUGGAGGAAACUCUGAUGCAGCGAUGCCGCGUGAGUGAAGAAGGCCUUUGGGUUGUAAAGCUCUUUCGUCGGGGAAGAAAAUGACUGUACCCGAAUAAGAAGGUCCGGCUAACUUCGUGCCAGCAGCCGCGGUAAUACGAAGGGACCUAGCGUAGUUCGGAAUUACUGGGCUUAAAGAGUUCGUAGGUGGUUGAAAAAGUUAGUGGUGAAAUCCCAGAGCUUAACUCUGGAACUGCCAUUAAAACUUUUCAGCUAGAGUAUGAUAGAGGAAAGCAGAAUUUCUAGUGUAGAG